This 468-nucleotide ribosomal RNA is filed under the name uncultured bacterium. RNAcentral's name for it is "partial 16S ribosomal RNA". It matches the Rfam family "Bacterial small subunit ribosomal RNA", at positions 28 to 507 of the family's 1533-position model. The record is from RNAcentral.
GACGAACGCUGGCGGCGUGCUUAACACAUGCAAGUCGAACGGAAAGGCCCUGCUUUUGUUGGGUGCUCGAGUGGCGAACGGGUGAGUAACACGUGAGUAACCUGCCCUUGACUUUGUGAUAACUUCAGGAAACUGGGGCUAAUACCGGAUAGGAUCUCCUGCUGCAUGGUGGGGGUUGGAAAGUUUCGGCGGUUGGGGAUGGACUCGCGGCUUAUCAGCUUGUUAGUGGGGUAGUGGCUUACCAAGGCUUUGACGGGUAGCCGGCCUGAGAGGGUGACCGGCCACAUUGGGACUGAGAUACGGCCCAGACUCCUACGGGAGGCAGCAGUGGGGAAUAUUGCAGAAUGGGCGGAAGCCUGAUGCAGCAACGCCGCGUGCGGGAUGACGGCCUUCGGGUUGUAAACAGAUUUCGCCUGUGACGAAGCGUGAGUGACGGUAAUGGGUAAAGAAGCACCGGCUAACUACGUG